This 779-nucleotide long non-coding RNA is filed under the name Salmo salar (Atlantic salmon). RNAcentral describes it as "lncRNA (ENSSSAG00000083633.1)". Lineage: Eukaryota; Metazoa; Chordata; Actinopteri; Salmoniformes; Salmonidae. The record is from RNAcentral.
CACACACACACACACACACACACACACACACACACACACACACACACACACACACACACACACACACACCUGAAAAGAGGCGGCAGUAACCAAACAGCAGGUUGAAUUAAACCAUUGAGGGUUCAGAUAUAAACUCUCCUGAUGACAUCAUAACACACCAGGUGGUGUACUAAUCAAAUCAAAUCAAACUUUAUUAGUCACAUGCGUCGAAUACAACAAGUAUAGACCUUUACCGUGAAAUGCUUACUGACAAGCCCCUUAACCACCAAUGCAGUUUAAAGAAAGAGUUAAGAAAAUAUUUACCUAAUAAACUAAAGUAACAAUGUGGAGGCUAUAUACAGGGUAUUACGGUACAGAGUCAAUGUGGAGGCUAUAUACAGGGUAUUACGGUAUAGAGUCAAUGUGGAGGCUAUAUACAGGGUAUUACGGUACAGAGUCAAUGUGGAGGCUAUAUACAGGGGGUACUGGUACAGAGUCAAUGUGGAGGCUAUUUACAGGGGGUACCGGUACAGAGUCAAUGUGGAGGCUAUAUACAGGGGGUACCGGUACUGAGUCAAUGUGGAGGCUAUAUACAGGGGGUACCGGUACAGAGUCAAUGUGGAGGCUAUAUACAGGGGGUACCGGUACAGAGUCAAUGUGGAGGCUAUAUACAGGGGGUACCGGUACAGAGUCAAUGUGGAGGCUAUAUACAGGGGGUACCGGUACAGAGUCAAUGUGGAGGCUAUAUACAGGAGGUACCGGUACAGAGUCAAUGUGGAGGCUAUAUACAGGGUAUUACG